This 52-nucleotide microRNA precursor is filed under the name Marmota monax (woodchuck). Lineage: Eukaryota; Metazoa; Chordata; Mammalia; Rodentia; Sciuridae. The record is from RNAcentral.
UUUACAGUAUAAGAAUGUCCCUUGCAAUAUUCAGGACACUCUUAUACUAAAA